This 497-nucleotide ribosomal RNA is filed under the name uncultured bacterium. RNAcentral describes it as "partial 16S ribosomal RNA". It matches the Rfam family "Bacterial small subunit ribosomal RNA", at positions 28 to 507 of the family's 1533-position model. The record is from RNAcentral.
GAUGAACGCUGGCGGCAUGCCUAAUACAUGCAAGUCGAGCGAACAGACGGGGAGCUUGCUCCUCUGAUGUUAGCGGCGGACGGGUGAGUAACACGUGGAUAACCUACCUAUAAGACUGGGAUAACUUCGGGAAACCGGAGCUAAUACCGGAUAACAUGUUGAACCGCAUGGUUCAACAGUGAAAGACGGUCUUGCUGUCACUUAUAGAUGGAUCCGCGCCGCAUUAGCUAGUUGGUAAGGUAACGGCUUACCAAGGCAACGAUGCGUAGCCGACCUGAGAGGGUGAUCGGCCACACUGGAACUGAGACACGGUCCAGACUCCUACGGGAGGCAGCAGUAGGGAAUCUUCCGCAAUGGGCGAAAGCCUGACGGAGCAACGCCGCGCGAGUGAAGAAGGUCUUCGGAUCGUAAAACUCUGUUAUUAGGGAAGAACAAAUGUGUAAGUAACUAUGCACGUCUUGACGGUACCUAAUCAGAAAGCCACGGCUAACUACGUG